This 22-nucleotide microRNA is filed under the name Gallus gallus (chicken). Its description in RNAcentral is "gga-miR-7483-3p". Lineage: Eukaryota; Metazoa; Chordata; Aves; Galliformes; Phasianidae. The record is from miRBase by way of RNAcentral.
GCCAUAAGUACCUGCAAGGCAA